Molecule: ribosomal RNA, 292 nt
Filed under: uncultured bacterium
Lineage: Bacteria
Description: partial 16S ribosomal RNA
Rfam family: Bacterial small subunit ribosomal RNA
Source: RNAcentral
GUGUCAGCAGCCGCGGUAAUACGUAGGGCGCAAGCGUUGUCCGGAAUUAUUGGGCGUAAAGAGCUCGUAGGCGGUCUGUCGCGUCGGCUGUGAAAACCCGAGGCUCAACCUCGGGCCUGCAGUCGAUACGGGCAGACUAGAGUGCUGUAGGGGAGACUGGAAUUCCUGGUGUAGCGGUGAAAUGCGCAGAUAUCAGGAGGAACACCGGUGGCGAAGGCGGGUCUCUGGGCAGUAACUGACGCUGAGGAGCGAAAGCGUGGGGAGCAAACAGGAUUAGAUACCCCGGUAGUCC